Molecule: ribosomal RNA, 271 nt
Filed under: uncultured prokaryote
Description: partial 16S ribosomal RNA
Rfam family: Bacterial small subunit ribosomal RNA
Source: RNAcentral
GUGUCAGCCGCCGCGGUAAUACAGAGGGUGCAAGCGUUAAUCGGAUUUACUGGGCGUAAAGCGCGCGUGGGUGGCCAAUUAAGUCAAAUGUGAAAUCCCCGAGCUUAACUUGGGAAUUGCAUUCGAUACUGGUUGGCUAGAGUAUGGGAGAGGAUGGUAGAAUUCCAGGUGUAGCGGUGAAAUGCGUAGAGAUCUGGAGGAAUACCGAUGGCGAAGGCAGCCAUCUGGCCUAAUACUGACACUGAGGUGCGAAAGCAUGGGGAGCAAACAG